AUUGCCCUAGUAACGGCGAGUGAAGCGGCAACAGCUCAAAUUUGAAAUCUGGCCCUCGGGUCCGAGUUGUAAUUUGUAGAGGAUGCUUUUGGUGAGGUACCUUCCGAGUUCCCUGGAACGGGACGCCAUAGAGGGUGAGAGCCCCGUCUGGUUGGAUACCGAUCCUCUGUAAAGCUCCUUCGACGAGUCGAGUAGUUUGGGAAUGCUGCUCUAAAUGGGAGGUAUAUGUCUUCUAAAGCUAAAUAUUGGCCAGAGACCGAUAGCGCACAAGUAGAGUGAUCGAAAGAUGAAAAGCACUUUGAAAAGAGAGUUAAAAAGUACGUGAAAUUGUUGAAAGGGAAGCGCUCAUGACCAGACUUGGGCUUGGUUGAUCAUCCAGGGUUCUCCCUGGUGCACUCUUCCAGCUCAGGCCAGCAUCAGUUCGCCGCGGGGGAUAAAGGCUUUGGGAAUGUGGCUCCCCCGGGAGUGUUAUAGCCCACUGCGUAAUACCCUGUAGUGGACUGAGGUUCGCGCAUCUGCAAGGAUGCUGGCAUAAUGGUCAUCAGCGACCCGUCUUGAAACACGGACCAAGGAGUCGUCUUCGUAUGCGAGUGUUCGGGUGUUAAACCCCUACGCGUAAUGAAAGUGAACGCAGGUGAGAGCUUCGGCGCAUCAUCGACCGAUCCUGAUGUUCUCGGAUGGAUUUGAGUAAGAGCAUACGGGGCCGGACCCGAAAGAAGGUGAACUAUGCCUGUAUAGGGUGAAGCCAGAGGAAACUCUGGUGGAGGCUCGCAGCGGUUCUGACGUGCAAAUCGAUCGUCAAAUAUGGGCAUGGGGGCGAAAGACUAAU
This 829-nucleotide ribosomal RNA is filed under the name Ilyonectria destructans. RNAcentral's name for it is "eukaryotic LSU rRNA". It matches the Rfam family "Eukaryotic large subunit ribosomal RNA", at positions 74 to 935 of the family's 3401-position model. Lineage: Eukaryota; Fungi; Ascomycota; Sordariomycetes; Hypocreales; Nectriaceae. The record is from RNAcentral.